This 490-nucleotide ribosomal RNA is filed under the name uncultured bacterium. Its description in RNAcentral is "partial 16S ribosomal RNA". It matches the Rfam family "Bacterial small subunit ribosomal RNA", at positions 30 to 507 of the family's 1533-position model. The record is from RNAcentral.
AUUGAACGCUGGCGGCAGGCCUAACACAUGCAAGUCGAACGGUAACAGGAAACAGCUUGCUGUUUCGCUGACGAGUGGCGGACGGGUGAGUCAUGUCUGGGAAACUGCCUGAUGGAGGGGGAUAACUACUGGAAACGGUAGCUAAUACCGCAUAACGUCGCAAGACCAAAGAGGGGGACACUCGGGCCUCUUGCCGUCGGAUGUGCCCAGAUGGGUUUCGCUUGUUGGUGGGGUAACGGCUCACCAAGCCGACGAUCCCUAGCUGGUCUGAGAGGAUGACCAGCCGCCCUGGAACUGGGACACGGUCCAGACUCCUACGGGAGGCAGCAGUGGGGAAUAUUGCACAAUGGGCGCAAGCCUGAUGCAGCCAUGCCGCGUGUAUGAAGAAGGCCUUCGGGUUGUAAAGUACUUUCAGCGGGGAGGAAGGGAGUAAAGUUAAUACCUUUGCUCAUUGACGUUACCCGCAGAAGAAGCACCGGCUAACUCCGUG